This 76-nucleotide transfer RNA is filed under the name Devosia insulae DS-56. RNAcentral describes it as "tRNA-Arg". It matches the Rfam family "tRNA". From Rfam's summary of the family: Transfer RNA (tRNA) molecules are approximately 80 nucleotides in length. Lineage: Bacteria; Pseudomonadati; Pseudomonadota; Alphaproteobacteria; Hyphomicrobiales; Devosiaceae. RNAcentral also lists the same sequence under 3 other names. The record is from RNAcentral.
GGCCUCGUAGCUCAGGGGAUAGAGCAGCAGCCUUCUAAGCUGUUGGUCGCAGGUUCGAAUCCUGCCGAGGUCGCCA